CUAACAGAUCUGGAUUAUUUUCUUUUCCGGUACUAUUUUUUCAUCAUGUUAUGAAGAUCAAAUUUCUACCAUGUUGAAAUUCUGAAAAUCCCCAAUAUUAUCCAUCCCAAUUAUAACUGUCGGUGUCGAGAAGCAUUCGAUUUCCCAGCACCAGCAGCUUCUCGAAUGAGUUGGGCGGUUGAUCGGGAAUUGAUGGCGGCGGAGUGGCACCACUUCCUUCAAUCGGUGUUGUAGGGAGUCAUCUUCUCGUAUCUGCUAGCGAAGCUAUUCUUGUUGGGAGUCAUCUUCUCGUACUUGCUAGCGAAGCUAUUCUGGGUUAUAUUCACCUUCCGCGACGAGAAUCUGAGGAUCAAGCGCGCUGAUUCCCCCGAACCUGAAGUUGAAGUGAGAGCAGCUGAUUCUUCGGCUCGGAAUUCGGAUGAGAAUGAGUCGUUGAUCCGCGGAGGUGUGGUAUCGGGGAAUGAAAGCGUGGUGAUGAGUGAUCAUAGUGAUAGUGAUGAUGAUUGGAAGGGUGUUGAGAGCACCGAAUUGGAUGAGAUCUUCAGUGCCGCCACUGCGUUUGUUGCAGCCAUAGCUGCCGACAAGGCGACGAUGAAGGUGUCGAAUGAUGCCCAGCUACAACUUUAUAGCUUGUACAUAAGAUUGCUACUAAGGGACGAUUUGGUGUUUCUCUGGAUGUGCACGAUUUGGUGCAUUUGGAGAGGGAGAAAUAACAGCAAGUUUAAUCUUGGAAGCUGGAGCAAAGAUAAAUUGUUGACUGAGGUAAAAACGAGGCUUUGGAGCUGGAAGCUGGCGUUCAAUCUGCAGAUUACUUCUCCAAACUUUAGAAGCUGGUUUGGAGCUGUGAAACUCCAUGGUUAACUCUGGCAGCAUCGUUUUCUUCCUCCCCUGCUUGGUUUCCCUUUUCCUUCUCUGAUCUUGUUUGUUUGUUGUGGGUACCUCUGGUACCGUUUUAUAUAUUUUCAGUUUCAAUAUAUCUCCUUUUUCCUGAUCAAAGAAAAAAAAACAUAAGAUUGCGACUAAGGGACCGUGUUCGGCUCCCCAACCUACUGCCUUGAAAAUGACAGCUAAUAUGAAAAUCAGCGUGGGUCGUUUAGUACGAUUGGUGCGCUGGAAGGAGCACACUAUCUGGAAACAGGGGAGCUCUUGAGCCUCAGCGAGCAGCAUCUUGUGGAUUGCAAUCAUGAGGAAUUUCUUGAAGGUUAUAAAUCCCCUGUUGCUGUUGGAGAUGAAGCUGAUUCACUGGAGUUGCGUAUCGCAGAUGCAACUUAUGCGGCUGAAGAUGCUAUCAAAUCUCAUAUUGUGGACAUGGUUCAGCUGAGCAGGUCGAAAGAAACCAAAGAUACUAUGGAAUCUCAUAUUGUGGAGAAGGUCCAGCUGAGCAGAUCCAAAAGAAGCCAAAAUCAGCUGCUUCUUCAACAGUUUUCGAGAACCGGAAACAAUGCAAAAAGUUCAUUCUCUUAUGUGCACAGUUUGUGGCUAAAAAUCUGAAUUAGUUUUGCAUUUGACAAUAUACUCUUUAGAACAUUGCUUGAUGGUCAACCUGUUAUAACUACAAACCUUAUAUAUGUAGAAUAUCAUUUGGUGAAUUCACAAAA
Salvia miltiorrhiza (redroot sage) is the source of this 1598-nucleotide long non-coding RNA. RefSeq lists it as uncharacterized. The record is from RefSeq and is a predicted model, not a curated record. Lineage: Eukaryota; Viridiplantae; Streptophyta; Magnoliopsida; Lamiales; Lamiaceae. The transcript is spliced from 3 exons.